GAUGAACGCUGGCGGCGUGCCUAACACAUGCAAGUCGAACGGACAUUUUUUGGAAAGUUCUUCGGAACCGGAAUCUAAAUGUUAGUGGCGGACGGGUGAGUAACGCGUGAGCAAUCUGCCUUUCAGAGGGGGAUAACAGCCGGAAACGGCUGCUAAUACCGCAUAAUGCAUUGGAUUCGCAUGUUUCUGAUGCCAAAGAUUUUAUCGCUGAAAGAUGAGCUCGCGUCUGAUUAGCUAGUUGGCGGGGUAACGGCCCACCAAGGCGACGAUCAGUAGCCGGACUGAGAGGUUGAACGGCCACAUUGGGACUGAGACACGGCCCAGACUCCUACGGGAGGCAGCAGUGGGGAAUAUUGCGCAAUGGGGGCAACCCUGACGCAGCAACGCCGCGUGAUUGAUGAAGGUCUUCGGAUUGUAAAAAUCUUUAAUCAGGGACGAAGAAAAUGACGGUACCUGAAGAAUAAGCUCCGGCUAACUACGUGCCAGCAGCCGCGGUAAUACGUAGGGAGCAAGCGUUAUCCGGAUUUACUGGGUGUAAAGGGCGUGUAGGCGGGCUUGCAAGUUGGAAGUGAAAUCUCGGGGCUUAACCCCGAAACUGCUUUCAAAACUGCGAGUCUUGAGUGAUGGAGAGGCAGGCGGAAUUCCCAGUGUAGCGGUGAAAUGCGUAGAUAUUGGGAGGAACACCAGUGGCGAAGGCGGCCUGCUGGACAUUAACUGACGCUGAGGCGCGAAAGCGUGGGGAGCAAACAGG
RNAcentral lists this ribosomal RNA (751 nucleotides) under uncultured bacterium. RNAcentral describes it as "bacterial SSU rRNA". It matches the Rfam family "Bacterial small subunit ribosomal RNA", at positions 28 to 776 of the family's 1533-position model. The record is from RNAcentral.